GGGUUUAUAUGGACGGAACUCUCCGGAGGGAAGAUAUAUAAACCUAGUGGCGGACGGGUGAGUAACGCGUGGGCGACCUGCCCUGUACCGGGGGACAACAGCCAGAAAUGGCUGCUAAUACCGCAUAGGGCCUGCUGUGCCGCAUGGCACAACAGGUAAAACCACGGUGGUACAGGAUGGGCCCGCGUCUGAUUGGUUAGUUGGCGGGCUAACGGCCUACAAGACAACGAUCAGUAACCGGCUUGAGAGAGUGGACGGCCACAUUGGGACUGAUACACGGCCCAUACUCCUGCGGGAGGCAUCAUUGGGGAAUAUUGCACAAUGGGGGGAACCCUGAUGCAGCAAUGCCGCGUAGGUGAAGAAGCACUCCGCCGCGUAAAGCCCUGUCAGCAGGGAUGAAAAUGACAAAAAAAAAACAUGAAGCCCCGGCUAACUACGUGCCAACAGCCGCGGUAAUACGUAGGGGGCAAGCGUUAUCCGGAUUUACUGGGUGUAAAGGGAGCGCAGGCGGCGUGGCAAGUCAGAUGUGAAAACCCGGGGCCCAACCCCGGGAGUGCAUUUGAAACUGCCAUGCUGGAGUGCCGGAGAGGUAAGCGGAAUUCCUAGUGUAGCGGUGAAAUGCGUA
Molecule: ribosomal RNA, 625 nt
Filed under: uncultured bacterium
Lineage: Bacteria
Description: bacterial SSU rRNA
Rfam family: Bacterial small subunit ribosomal RNA
Source: RNAcentral